Long non-coding RNA from Silurus meridionalis, 888 nucleotides. RefSeq lists it as uncharacterized. The transcript is spliced from 6 exons. NCBI's taxonomy places the organism in Eukaryota, Metazoa, Chordata, Actinopteri, Siluriformes, Siluridae. The record is from RefSeq and is a predicted model, not a curated record.
AGUAUGACUUAUACAUCCUUUUGAAUAUGUUAUAUCACUAUGAAAGCAUUUACUUUUCCUGCCAUUUAUUUCUUUAGUUUAAAAUAAUAAUGUAUAUUUCUUAUUUAAUAAGGUGUAAUCCUUCUGGAGCCACAAGAACUUUAAGCCAAGUCAAAAUGAAACACAAAAACAUUCUGCAAAAAGGUCAUAUUUGAUUACACAAUUACUGAACUAUUAUUAUAACAGGAUUUAGUAUAUUCAUUCUGUCAUGUAGCUAAUAGAAAGAAGACUGAAGCCCGUCUAACUGGUGGGGGCCCACCACCACCUCCCCUCAACCUAUAUGAGGAGCUGGCUCUGUCCCUUAAUAAACGGCGACCAGUGGUUGCUGGCAUUCCAGGGGGCAGUUCAUCGCACACACCAUGCACCACAAGUGAUGGUGAAAAAAUGGUGAAAUGCUUAUUUAUUAUUGGACCCUCCAGAAAGAACAAAGUCUGUCACAGUUGAUGAUGAUGAUAAAGAUGACGAUGAAGAGACCACAUCUGCUGUGACAGAAGUGGACAAUGCUGGUAGAUCCACUGAGUACAUACCUAGGGAUUUGCCCACAGAUGAGGGUCCUUCAACCUCAGCACACAAUCUAAGCAGGUUGCCAGCAAAGGAGCUGUAUAAGGUCCAUCUUCAAAAACAAAUAAGAAAAAGUGACAUGGAGAUGGACCUUAUACCGCUUCAAAUGGAAGAGAAAAGGCUCCUCAUUAAAAAAGCAGCACUUGAAAUUGAAUUACUGGAACAUCGCCUUAAGGAAAUAAAGAAAUAAACUGCCUGGCAGACCAGUGCAAAAAAAUUAAUAAAAGUAAUUUUGACAGAUCCUGUCUCUCAAAAGUCUUCCGUCUCUGUUGGCCUCUAAAAUCUGUA